GGCGACAAGUCUACAUUCAGACCAAUAACUUUUGGGAAGGUUAGCUUGAAAUCUAAUGGCCCUUGCAACAUGUAACAAGUGUCUGUGCUUUCUCUCCACUACACCAUUUUACUGGGGUGUAUAGGGACAGGUAGAGUGAUAGACAAUGCCUUUAGAUUGAAACAAUGUGGCACACUUGUGAUCAACAAAUUCAGAACCAUUGUCCGAUCUAAUGAAUUUGACCUUGGUGUGAAAAUGUGUCUCUACAUAACUAAGAAAAGCACUAAUGACUGAAAAACACUGAUCUUUGUAUCUAAACAUAUGAGUCCAAGUAGCCCGUGACAUAUCAUCUACAAUUGUAAGAAAAAACUAAGCUCUAGUAACAGAAAGAGUGGCAUAUGGGCCCCAAACAUCAAUAUGUAACAUUUCCAGAAGUUGACUGGCAACAAAA
This 430-nucleotide unclassified non-coding RNA is filed under the name Hevea brasiliensis (rubber tree). The record is from RNAcentral. Lineage: Eukaryota; Viridiplantae; Streptophyta; Magnoliopsida; Malpighiales; Euphorbiaceae.